Molecule: non-coding RNA, 588 nt
Organism: Beggiatoa sp. PS
Lineage: Bacteria; Pseudomonadati; Pseudomonadota; Gammaproteobacteria; Thiotrichales; Thiotrichaceae
Source: Rfam
GUGUAGCCCUGGCCGUAAGGGCCAUGAUGACUUGACAUCAUCCUCUUUACCUUGACAUUACCAACAGAAGAAGCACCGGCUAACUCUGUGCCAGCAGCCGCGGUAAUACAGAGGGUGCAAGCGUUAAUCGGAAUUAUUGGGCGUAAAGGGUGCGUAGGCGGCGAAGUUAGUCAGAUGUGAAAGCCCAAGGCUUAACCUUGGAAUUGCAUUUGAUACUGCUAAGCUAGAGUAUAUGUAGAGGAAAGCGGAAUUCCUAGUGUAGCGGUGAAAUGCGUAGAUAUUAGGAAGAACACUGGUGGCGAAGGCGGCUUUCUGGACUAAUACUGACGUUGAGGCACGAAAGCGUGGGGAGCAAACAGGAUUAGAUACCCUGGUAGUCCACGCCCUAAACGAUGAGAAUUAGAUGUUGGGGGAAUUUAAUCCUUUAGUAUCAUAGCUAACGCACUAAAUUCUCCGCCUGGGGAGUACGACCGCAAGGUUAAAACUCAAAUGAAUUGACGGGGGCCCGCACAAGCGGUGGAGCAUGUGGUUUAAUUCGAUGCAACGCGAAGAACCUUACCUGGCCUUGACAUCCUCGGAAUUCCUCAG